UACGUAGGGUGCGAGCGUUGUCCGGAAUUAUUGGGCGUAAAGAGCUCGUAGGCGGUGUGUCACGUCGGCCGUGAAAACCUGCAGCUUAACUGUGGGCGUGCGGUCGAUACGGGCAUCACUGGAGUUCGGCAGGGGAGACUGGAAUUCCUGGUGUAGCGGUGGAAUGCGCAGAUAUCAGGAGGAACACCGGUGGCGAAGGCGGGUCUCUGGGCCGAUACUGACGCUGAGGAGCGAAAGCGUGGGGAGCAAACAGG
This 254-nucleotide ribosomal RNA is filed under the name uncultured bacterium. RNAcentral's name for it is "partial 16S ribosomal RNA". It matches the Rfam family "Bacterial small subunit ribosomal RNA", at positions 524 to 776 of the family's 1533-position model. The record is from RNAcentral.